GGAUUUAGGGUUCAGGUAGAGCAUUUGACUGCAGAUCAAGAGGUCACCGAUUCGAACCCGGUUGGGCCCU
Molecule: transfer RNA, 70 nt
Filed under: Phaseolus vulgaris (common bean)
Lineage: Eukaryota; Viridiplantae; Streptophyta; Magnoliopsida; Fabales; Fabaceae
Rfam family: tRNA
About the family: Transfer RNA (tRNA) molecules are approximately 80 nucleotides in length. Their secondary structure includes four short double-helical elements and three loops (D, anti-codon, and T loops).
Source: Rfam by way of RNAcentral